GACAGGGGUCUCGAGCGUUAAUCGGAAUCACUGGGCUUAAAGGGUGCGUAGGCGGGCCUGUAAGUGUCCUGUGAAAUCCCCCGGCUCAACCGGGGAACUGCGGGGCAUACUGCGGGUCUUGAGGAAGGUAGGCGCCGAGGGAACAGUAGGUGGAGCGGUGAAAUGCGUAGAUAUCUACUGGAACGCCGAUGGUGAAGACGCUCGGCUGGGCCUUUCCUGACGCUGAGAGACGAAAGCUAGGGGAGCGAAUGGG
This 253-nucleotide ribosomal RNA is filed under the name uncultured bacterium. RNAcentral's name for it is "partial 16S ribosomal RNA". It matches the Rfam family "Bacterial small subunit ribosomal RNA", at positions 524 to 776 of the family's 1533-position model. The record is from RNAcentral.